RNAcentral lists this ribosomal RNA (490 nucleotides) under uncultured bacterium. RNAcentral describes it as "partial 16S ribosomal RNA". It matches the Rfam family "Bacterial small subunit ribosomal RNA", at positions 30 to 507 of the family's 1533-position model. The record is from RNAcentral.
AUUGAACGCUGGCGGCAGGCCUAACACAUGCAAGUCGAACGGUAACAGGAAGCAGCUUGCUGCUUCGCUGACGAGUGGCGGACGGGUGAGUAAUGUCUGGGAAACUGCCUGAUGGAGGGGGAUAACUACUGGAAACGGUAGCUAAUACCGCAUAACGUCGCAAGACCAAAGAGGGGGACCUUAGGGCCUCUUGCCAUCGGAUGUGCCCAGAUGGGAUUAGCUAGUAGGUGGGGUAACGGCUCACCUAGGCGACGAUCCCUAGCUGGUCUGAGAGGAUGACCAGCCACACUGGAACUGAGACACGGUCCAGACUCCUACGGGAGGCAGCAGUGGGGAAUAUUGCACAACGGGCGCAAGCCUGAUGCAGCCAUGCCGCGUGUAUGAAGAAGGCCUUCGGGUUGUAAAGUACUUUCAGCGGGGAGGAAGGGAGUAAAGUUAAUACCUUUGCUCAUUGACGUUACCCGCAGAAGAAGCACCGGCUAACUCCGUG